This is a non-coding RNA of Helianthus annuus (common sunflower), 87 nucleotides long. Lineage: Eukaryota; Viridiplantae; Streptophyta; Magnoliopsida; Asterales; Asteraceae. The record is from Rfam.
UGCAAUCGAUGAUGCAAUGAAAUUAUUUACACUGAUGUUUUACUGUGAUUAACAUAAAUUUAUCACCAUCUUUCGACUGAGAUUGCA